This 497-nucleotide ribosomal RNA is filed under the name uncultured bacterium. RNAcentral describes it as "partial 16S ribosomal RNA". It matches the Rfam family "Bacterial small subunit ribosomal RNA", at positions 28 to 507 of the family's 1533-position model. The record is from RNAcentral.
GAUGAACGCUGGCGGCGUGCCUAAUACAUGCAAGUCGAGCGAACGGACGAGAAGCUUGCUUCUCUGAUGUUAGCGGCGGACGGGUGAGUAACACGUGGAUAACCUACCUAUAAGACUGGGAUAACUUCGGGAAACCGUAGCUAAUACCGGAUAAUAUUUUGAACCGCAUGGUUCAAAAGUGAAAGACGGCCUUGCUGUCACUUAUAGAUGGAUCCGCGCUGCAUUAGCUAGUUGGUAAGGUAACGGCUUACCAAGGCAACGAUGCAUAGCCGACCUGAGAGGGUGAUCAGCCACACUGGAACUGAGACACGGUCCAGACUCCUACGGGAGGCAGCAGUAGGGAAUCUUCCGCAAUGGGCGAAAGCCUGACGGAGCAACGCCGCGUGAGUGAUGAAGGUCUUCGGAUCGUAAAACUCUGUUAUUAGGGAAGAACAUAUGUGUAAGUAACUGUGCACAUCUUGACGGUACCUAAUCAGAAAGCCACGGCUAACUACGUG